UCUGGUUGAUCCUGCCUGAACUGAUGUGUUCAUUUCAAAGAUUAAGCCAUGCAUGUAUAAGUUUAAUCGUUUUAACGAGAAACCGCGAACGGCUCAUUACAAUGGCCAUGAUUUACUUGAUCUUGAUUAUCUAAAUGGAUAACUGUGGAAAAGCUAGAGCUAAUACAUGCACCAAAGCUUUGUCCUCUCGGAAAAGCGCAUUUAUUAGAACAAAACCACGCGGCUUCGGCUGCUUCUUGUUGACUCAGAAUAACUAAGCUGACCGCAUGGCCUUGUGCCGGCGGCGUGUCUUUCAAGCGUCCACUUUAUCAACUUGACGGGAGCAUAAUCGACUCCCGUGGUGGUGACGGAUAACGGAGGAUCAGGGUUCGACUCCGGAGAAGGGGCCUGAGAAAUGGCCACUACGUCUAAGGAUGGCAGCAGGCGCGCAAAUUACCCACUCUCGGCUCGAGGAGGUAGUGACGAGAAAUAACGAGAUCGUUCUCUUUGAGGCCGGUCAUCGGAAUGGGUACAAUUUAAACCCUUUAACGAGUAUCAAGCAGAGGGCAAGUCUGGUGCCAGCAGCCGCGGUAACUCCAGCAUCUGCUAAUACAUAGAAUUAUUGCUGCGGUUAAAAAGCUCGUAGUUGGAUUCGUAUCGGUACCCUGGAACCCUCCGGGUGUUUCUGGGUGUUAUCGAUUUAUCGUAAUGUUCGGUUUUGAGUCCUUAACAGGAUUCUUAACAGGCAUUGUAAGUUUACUUUGAACAAAUCAGAGUGCUUCAAACAGGCGUUUUCGCUUGAAUGAACGUGCAUGGAAUAAUAGAAAACGAUUUCGGUUCAGUUUUAUUGGUUUUACGGACUGAGAUAAUGGUUAACAGAGACAAACGGGGGCAUUUGUAUGGCCCCGUGAGAGGUGAAAUUCUUGGACCGUGGCCAGACAAACUACAGCGAAAGCAUUUGCCAAGAAUGUCUUCAUUAAUCAAGAACGAAAGUCAGAGGUUCGAAGGCGAUCAGAUACCGCCCUAGUUCUGACCGUAAACGAUGCCAACUAGCGAUCCGCCGAUGGAAAUUAUAUUGCCUUGGUGGGGAGCUUCCCGGAAACGAAAGUCUUCCGGUUCCGGGGGAAGUAUGGUUGCAAAGCUGAAACUUAAAGGAAUUGACGGAAGGGCACCACCAGGAGUGGAGCCUGCGGCUUAAUUUGACUCAACACGGGGAAACUCACCCGGCCCGGACACUGUGAGGAUUGACAGAUUGAUAGCUUUUUCAUGAUUCAGUGGAUGGUGGUGCAUGGCCGUUCUUAGUUCGUGGAGUGAUUUGUCUGGUUUAUUCCGAUAACGAGCGAGACUCUAACCUACU
Molecule: ribosomal RNA, 1336 nt
Filed under: Meloidogyne javanica (root-knot nematode)
Lineage: Eukaryota; Metazoa; Nematoda; Chromadorea; Rhabditida; Meloidogynidae
Description: SSU rRNA
Rfam family: Eukaryotic small subunit ribosomal RNA
Source: RNAcentral